RNAcentral lists this ribosomal RNA (465 nucleotides) under Vreelandella stevensii. RNAcentral describes it as "partial 16S ribosomal RNA". It matches the Rfam family "Bacterial small subunit ribosomal RNA", at positions 338 to 795 of the family's 1533-position model. Lineage: Bacteria; Pseudomonadati; Pseudomonadota; Gammaproteobacteria; Oceanospirillales; Halomonadaceae. The record is from RNAcentral.
CCUACGGGUGGCAGCAGUGGGGAAUAUUGGACAAUGGGGGCAACCCUGAUCCAGCCAUGCCGCGUGUGUGAAGAAGGCCCUCGGGUUGUAAAGCACUUUCAGUGAGGAAGAACGCCUGGUGGUUAAUACCCAUCAGGAAAGACAUCACUCACAGAAGAAGCACCGGCUAACUCCGUGCCAGCAGCCGCGGUAAUACGGAGGGUGCGAGCGUUAAUCGGAAUUACUGGGCGUAAAGCGCGCGUAGGUGGCUUGAUAAGCCGGUUGUGAAAGCCCCGGGCUCAACCUGGGAACGGCAUCCGGAACUGUCAAGCUAGAGUGCAGGAGAGGAGGGUAGAAUUCCCGGUGUAGCGGUGAAAUGCGUAGAGAUCGGGAGGAAUACCAGUGGCGAAGGCGGCCUUCUGGACUGACACUGACACUGAGGUGCGAAAGCGUGGGUAGCAAACAGGAUUAGAUACCCUGGUAGUC